RNAcentral lists this ribosomal RNA (930 nucleotides) under Thysanozoon brocchii. RNAcentral's name for it is "partial large subunit ribosomal RNA". It matches the Rfam family "Eukaryotic large subunit ribosomal RNA", at positions 104 to 843 of the family's 3401-position model. Lineage: Eukaryota; Metazoa; Platyhelminthes; Polycladida; Pseudocerotidae. The record is from RNAcentral.
AGAGCCCAGCACCGAAUCCUUCACCAUCUCGGUGACAGGAAAUGUGGUGUUUAGGCCGUACCUUGUCCCGACACGUCUCUCCUCAAGUCCACUUGAUUGUGGCCCCAGGCCCAGAGAGGGUGUAAGGCCCGUGGAGGCGAGACGUUCGGUACCUGGUGCGUCCUUAGAGUCGGGUUGUUUGGGAAUGCAGCCCUAAGCGGGUGGUAAACUCCAUCCAAGGCUAAAUACCAGCACGAGUCCGAUAGCGAAGAAGUACCGCGAGGGAAGGUUGAAAAGAACUUUGAAGAGAGAGUUCAAGAGUACGUGAAACCGCUGAGAGGCAAACUGGUGGAACUGAAAUGGUCCCGAGGAAUUCAGCCGUUGGUCGUUGCACAGUCUUUGGUGAUUGAUCUAACGACGGCGCCAUUGAAUGACGUUUCGAUCAUCGGUGCACUUUCCUCGCCUGGGCCCGACCACGACCGGUGAGCUGAUCUGUCUGUCGUGCUUGGAAGAUAGCGCCGUCUUCGGAAGGCGUGUUAUAGACAGGCAUACGGAGCAGUCGGCGCACUGGAUGAUAGUGCCUGCCCAUCUGGGCUCAUAUGGUGGUUGUUUUGUUGGCGAGUUCUGAUGUCACUACUUCGGUAGAGUCGUUAGACUCUGUUGGCAUUAUGGCUGUCCUCUAUGAUUGGCACUGUUAAGUCUGUGGUUGUGAAGUAGGUAGUCCACCUGACCCGUCUUGAAACACGGACCAAGGAGUCUAACAUGUGCGCGAGUCAUUGGGUUCACGAAACCUAAAGGCGCAGUGAAGGUAAAGAUCUGUUUUGGCAGAUUGAGGUGGGAUGCCGGGUUACGCGCCCGGCCGCACUACCGGCCCGUUCUAUAUGUCUUUCAUAGGAGCGGAGCAAGAGCGUACACGUUGGGACCCGAAAGAUGGUGAACUAUGCUUGCGCA